UCUUGAUGUAGCUUGAUGUCUUCAAGCUUUAAGAGCUUAGCCCCAAUAGUGUGGAAGCCUCAAGUGGAAUCACAAAUCACCAAGACACCUUGGAAUACUUUAGAGAAUAUGAUUACUUGGUUCUCUCUAGUGAAAUUGGCUAGCCCUUCUUUAGUGUAUCCACACUAGUGCCAAUUUCACCAACCAAAGACAUCUUUAUAUAGUAUGGAGGAUUAGGGUUAAACCCUAAUACCUAUGACCUUUCAUUUCCUAGGAUCCAUGGGUUAAACACUCCAUGGACUAUCCAUGAAAGCUUAGCCCAACCUAAAUGAACUUGGCCCAUUCCAUAUAUAUAAGAGUCCAUAUUUAAUUAGUUCAUUUUGAUCACUUAAUUAAUUAUAAAUUAAUUCUUGAUCAAUACUAAUUAAAUAAUAUGAUUCCAUAUUAAUAUAUUAGAACUUAUAAUAUAUUAAUAUUAAUCAUAAACAUACUAUUCUCAAAAGAUUAUCCAUAUAAAUUGUGUCGGUGAAGUGCAACCCAAAUGGACCAUGCCGGGUCGGGUCAAGUACAUACCAAAUAUAGUUAUGGACUUAGACAUUAAUCCAACAGUCUCCCACUUGGAUAAGUCUAAAACUAUUAUUGCGUAUGACUUCAAACCUAACUGGCAAUCGUAGCUCUUAAAGCUGCUGUCGAACUCUGAUCUUGUCAACGAACUUGUCCAUUAGAUAAGGGAUCAUAUAUUCCUCCAUUCUAGAUAUCAUAUGGACUGAGACAUGGAUUAUAAUCAUUCUCUCUGUCCAUUUGUUGUUUCCCGAUUUCCGAUUUAUGACGACUGACUAAUUGAACAAAUCAAAUCAGUCCUGGCCCGGCCGAGCACUUCCAUUUGUCAUCAUCAAAUCAUCGAGGGGCCCACAGAUAUCGCUUUUAUCCCGAAGGUAAAAGGAAUGGAUAAACUUCGACUCAUAUGGCUUGUUCUACUACUUGUUGAAUCAUACACAAAGGCACGUUUUAUAGCACCGAGUUACCAAAUGCGUUUUCGUGCAAUCAAUGUACAACCAACUCAUAGUAACAACUCAUAUCUCUAGGUUUGAAGAAUAUAAGAUAUUAUCGUCUCAUGAUCACUCGUGAUAAAAUCCAUGAAGUGAUUCCAAUGAGCGCGGGUUGAAUCCAAUACUCAGAACUUAUGAGCACUCAUGAGUGUUGUAGCCCUUUGUCCAACACCUUAGACCUCUACAAGCCAACCCAUGACAGUCUUAAUUCAUAUCUACUUCCAACAUAUGACCGACUGUGGAUGGUUUGAAUAACUUAGUCAUUCCGGAAGAAUAACCUAGUUUAUUCGGGAAGUCAAAACAUGCAAAGUGAAACACAAUAAUAAUUGAAUCCAAUAUGGUAUCAAAUCUUUGAACAUAAAUAAAACACCUUUUAUUUAUCACCAUAUGAUUACACAUUAUUCAUUGUAUACUGUUUCAGCUAUCAACUUUAUUCUUGAAUUUAAAACAAUAGUUGUCCCAUGCUCCAAGCAUGUACACUAUGUUUUCUUAAACACUAGUCAUGCCACACACCAAGUAUGCAUACUAUGUUUGUCUAUGAUCUUUACUUUGUGAACUAGAUCAAUUGAACAUAACUUCAAUGAUUCUCUUUUCACACUCCCAAAUCCUUACUGCAAAUGCAAGAAUUCCAAAUUCAUGCCAUUUACUGAAAUCUGUUAGAUUCUAAACUUAUAUGCAUUGAUCCUCUUGUAAUGAUUAUGCACAAAGUCAGAAAGACUUGACAACAAUCAUUACAGAGUAUUCCAAAGGAGAUCAGCUCCUUGGAAACAUCCUUCUUGCAUUAAGUUUCCUAAUCUUAAACAGAUUGAAAAUUCUAACUUUGAAACAUUUCCAGAUUCCAUUUUGACUAUCACUUCUGAACAAGAGUUGCCUCCUUACAGAUUAUGUCAAUAUGGUCCUUCCAGAAUUAUCACUAUACUUCCAACUGUCCUUGAGCAACCAAUCUUUGGUAAACCUUAGAUUGUCCUCGACAAUUGUUUAAUCCUUUUAGUCAUAUCCAGUUCUAAACCUUUUCCCUUCUUAAUGCCCCAGGCAUUUGGAAAAUUUUAGAACGGAUGAAUAUAGCACAUGUAAUCGAUCCUAUAUCCGAAGCAUAUGGGACACGAUUCAUGAUGUCUUACAUAAAGACUAAACCAGUCUUUUGCUAUAAUAUUUCCAUUUCAAUUUGCCAAGUUCUCAUAAUUCAGAUUAUGAAAAGGGAUGCCGUAAUCAUAAUCGAAUUUUAGAACGCAAAUAAUGGACCCAUAUACAGAAUUUCCUUAUGUUGAGCCAUUCCAACAUGAAAUUCAUAUAUAUCCUUGACUAAAUGAUUAAAACCUCACGAUCUAAGCUUAUAGAUUUGAGAUGAAGUAUAAUUUCCUCUCCCUUAAUUAUAGCAAAACAACUUUUUCCCAAUUGAAACUUUUGUUUUCUAUAAUUAACAUUGCUAACUUGCAAUACUUAUCAUAAUUAUCAUGCUCCCACUAACAUGAUGAUUAUUAGCAUAACACUUAUGCUCCCACUAGCUUUGACAUGUACUCAGAAAUCAGCUGGACUUCUAGAAAUCAAUACUUCAUUGACUUUCUUACCAAAGUUCAGAUUUCUGAUGCUAGAUUGUUUUGAUAAAGCUUUAUCAAAAUCAUACACCUUCCCUUAGAUAGCACACUUGUGUGUCUAAACAAUUAUGAAGAGGUAUGCCGUAAUCAUAAUGGUUAGACCUUUUUGCCACUUCUCACAAGUCCAGGUUAGUGUGCCGGUUAACCACACGCGCUCCACUAACGACUUUGAGAAUGCAAAUAUCACAAUUGCUAUCUAGAUAAAAUCUACUUAGUGAAAGUGUUUCCUCACCAUCAUUUUCAUGAAUCGGAGAGAAACCUUAUGACACUUAGAUUUAUAUGGUGUAUGAGUUCCUACCCAUAUGAAUUUGUCAAACCAUAAUCACAAGACAAAGAUAAUGACAAAUCCAAAACCAUAUGGAUUGAACUCAAUCUUAACUUCUUGCCACCUGGCAGCUCAAGGGCCUGCCAUUGCUUCCAAGUUGUUAUGCAACAAACUGAGAACUCUAAGAACUCAUAUGCAAAGCCAACUUUAACUGGAAUGGGCACAGAUAUGUCAACACGAUAGGUUAUAAACCUCAAGUCGUGUGCUAGUGAAGAACUUCAGGUUUUAUUCUUGAUUAGUUCUUGAGACUUUCAAGACCUUUAAGACUCCCACUGUCCUCUUGACAUAUAAGACUCCCUUGUCAAACAUCCAAGAGAUAGUGCGGAUUCUAAUCAAGAAAAACACUUUACCCAAUUGGCCUAAGUUGGUCUUUGUUUUAUCCAAAACAUCACAACUUACCAAUUUCAAAUGUACAAGAGUAGAAAACUUUUACUCUUACAUUUGACAAGUGUUUUAAACCUUCUUUAAGACAUGUCACUCAAAUGACAAUCUUGGAGUAUGACUCUAAGACUUGUAUUGGAACGAAGUAUGACUCAUCUUCUUGAUUUAACCAUUUCAACAAUUCAAGUUCCUCUUCUUAGUCAUAAGAAUGCACUAAGAUUUCCUUAGAGAACUAAUUUUGAUAUGGUUUCUUAAUCAUUAAGAUGAUCACAAAACUGAUACUAAAGUACUCUCCCAUCUUUUCAGAUUUGAGAAACUUUUAUCCUUCUGCCUUAUUUGAUUCUUCUUAUCGAUCUUUAGUGGUGGACUUAAUCAGUGCACAAGAAUGUGUACUCGAUCCCUAAGUCCUUUACUUGACUCACACAUCCAUGUGAACAAGUAAUUAGUCUUAAUUUUCCAAAACUUGAAAGUUCUCAUUCAUCAUGCUAUACAACUUGCAUGAUUCCAAGUUCCGGUCCAAUUGAAACUUGGGUGAUGAGAAUCUUUCCUUAUUUGGUAAAUUUAGACAUUACCACAAAUGAAAGAAUCAAUUUCAUACUUCCACUCUUGCUACUAAUGGAAUCUUAUAAGCAACAAAAAUUUCCACAGAUGCCAUUGUAAGGAUAUUUUAAAAUAAAUAAAAUCAAAAAUUUCCUUUUAUUUUAAAACUUUGCGGAAAAACUAUCCUUACAAUCCAUAUGAAAACUUGUUGUUAUCUAUUCCUAAGCAAUAUCUCAUAACUCCUAAGAAGUAGCUCAAGAAUCCGAUUUUUCAAACUAUGCGAUAGAAAUCCAUCUAUGCGAUCAGAUUCAGCAUAUUCUUCCUUUAAGUUUCUUCACUUUCCUUUGAUUCUUAAACCAUCACCAUGCGACCCGGUCACAUCAUGUAUCAAGAAUCUCAGAAUAGAAACUUAACAGAGUUAGAUAGUGGAUUUUACCUGAAGUAGAGUCAAACUUAUUGACUUUAACAUCCUUAGGUAAAUUUGGCAGCUUCGCAACCAAUGCCCUUUCUUUGGCAAUACAAACAUAUGGACCCUUUGAUAAUGGUACACAGGACUAUCACAGACUUAGCUUUUCUCUUUACCAUUUGGUCAACCGAGUUGACUAUAGCCGAUCCCUUUCCAUUGGGAAGAGAAUGCUUUACUGGAUAUCCAAUGUCAUCAUUGUCAAUGUCCAUAAAGUUUUAGGAAGUUGAUCUUAACAAAUAGAUAAGAUCAUUAAGGGUCUUGUCAUAGUCUUUUUCAUAGGUGUUCCAAAAGAACUCACUAUGUGACUUAGAAAGUAGUUGAACCACCAACUUUCUCAAGACUUUGACACCCAACUCUCCCGGCUUGUCAAUAUGUGACUACAUCUCCAAGAUGUGACCACACCUAGACCUUGCCUUGCCAAAAGGGCCUGAGUGACCUUAAACUUUUCAAGAACUUGUGGGUUAGGGAGAAUAAUUUGAAGAGGUGAAGAAGUAUGAUAUCCAUGGGACAUCAUCUUCAUUAGGAAACCUUGUUUCAAGAGAUUUGGGAAGAUCAUAGGUGUCUAAACCAGACAUCUUUUGGGAGAUAUUCAAGAUAGUUGAUUUAAAGUCCUUAAUAUGACACCCAAUAUGAAAUAUUAAGGCUAGGACCCAACAAACUAUUUUAUAACUUAGAAGAGGUAUGCCGUAAUCCAAGCUAUAAAAUAUUUGAAGGUAGGUGAAUGACGAUUCACCAAUUUCCACCAAGAUAAACGAAAUGUAUUAUUAGGUUUUAAUUGGUUUUGAAACUCCUAGAUCUUUGAGAUUCAUUGAACUUUUCAAAGGCAUGUUUCAAUCUCGAGUGUGCCCUUCAGGUUUUGUGACUGGGAUGCCGAGGAUCACAAAACAAGGUGUGAAGUAACCAUGCAAAUCACUUGGUACCCUUAAUAAAUUACCCCUCAAUCGAUGUGCCGGUUAACCACACACGCUCCAUCGAUACUAUGAUAAAUAUUAAGUCACCCUUUACCUACCUUGUUAAGUCCAAGUUAGUGUGCCGGUUAACCACACACGCUCCACUAACGACUUAGACAAAGUGUAAAGUGUAAUUUCAUGGAUUAGCACCUUAUUCACAUUUUUCCUAAGUAACUAAGAUUGGGUAUUAUUAAGAGUUUAGUUACUUAGUAUUAUCAUUAAUACUUUUAAUGAAGGGAGAAUUCUAGUCCUGUCAAACCCGUUCGGCUAACGACCCUCCACCAGUCAAGCAAGCGGUGGGUGAGAGUGGACACCCAUUAAGUUGCCAUUUUAUAGGCAACAACCUUAUACCCACCUUAUAGACCGGCUUCGUGAAUGAGGCGUACUAGCGGUAAGACUGACUUUACUCUUAUACAUAUAUAUAUUAUUAACUUAUAAUAUUAUAAAGUAUAAGGGUUGAAUUUUAACUUUUAAAAUUCUAAGGGCUAACUUGGAAUUAAAGUAUUCAUAAGUGAAAACUUUACAAAUUCCAAAACUUGAGGGCAAGUUUUGAAACUAUUCAAAACUAAUUAAUUCCAUAACUUAUGUGUUUAAAGUAGUUUUAAUCCAAAAACUCUUCAAGUUCCAUAACUUGAGGACAAGUUAUGGAAGACUUUAAACUAAUAAAAGAAUUAACUUUUCUUUAUUUUAUAACUUAUGGAAUUAAUUAAGGUUACACUUUUUUUUUUUUUAUUUUAUUUUAUUAAAUGAAGAGACUCUUGGUCCUCCAUAACUUGAGGACAAGUUAUGGAGUCAUAAAACCAUUUAAUUAGAACUAGACUCUUCAUUUUUGUAACCUUUGCCAAUUUUUAUGAGUUUUAUGAUUCUUAAAUGUGACUUUUCAUAUAACUUGAGGACAAGUUACAAAAACACAUUUUAGAAUCAAUUCUUAGAUUAAUUUGGAUUAAAACCAACUAUCACAUAAUUUUAUUCAUUAAUCUAAAUUCACUCAUAAAACAAGGUAACACAAAAAACUUUUGGUGAUCCAUAACUUAUUCUUAAGUUAUGGAAUCCUUUAAAACAUUAACACCAAAUUUUGUAACUCCAAAAAAACUUUGAAUCAAUUUUUUUUUUAAAACCUUUUCAUAUCCAUAACUUAUGGAGGUUUCAAAAAAUAAAACUCUUUAGAUCAAACUUUUAAAACUAAUAAAAUAAUCAUAUUAUUUUAUCUUUUAUUAAAUUUGACCUAAUUCAACUCAUAAAGCAAAUUAUUCAAAUUUUACAAAUAAUUAGUUUUUCACAAGAACAAGUAAUUAUCUUAAAAUUUGACAAACUUCAUGUUUUUUUUUUUUUUUUUUUUCAACUUUGAAAAUAAAAUAUUUGCAUCAAUAUAACAGAAAACAACCCGUGGCUCUGAUACCACUGUUGGGUUUUGAGCAUUCUAACACUUCCUAAGUGUACAUGCAACCCUAAAUACCUUGGAUCUAUGUUUUCUCUAUUAUACAUGCAAAUAAGAACAUCCAAGGUAUUAUCCUAAUCUAGCAUACAAAAACUAUGAAUGUAACAAGAUAGAAUACAUACCUCUUGAUGUAGCUUGAUGUCUUCAAGCUUUAAGAGCUUAGCCCCAAUAGUGUGGAAGCCUCAAGUGGAAUCACAAAUCACCAAGACACCUUGGAAUACUUUAGAGAAUAUGAUUACUUGGUUCUCUCUAGUGAAAUUGGCUAGCCCUUCUUUAGUGUAUCCACACUAGUGCCAAUUUCACCAACCAAAGACAUCUUUAUAUAGUAUGGAGGAUUAGGGUUAAACCCUAAUACCCAUGACCUUUCAUUUCCUAGGAUCCAUGGGUUAAACACUCCAUGGACUAUCCAUGAAAGCUUAGCCCAACCUAAAUGAACUUGGCCCAUUCCAUAUAUAUAAGAGUCCAUAUUUAAUUAGUUCAUUUUGAUCACUUAAUUAAUUAUAAAUUAAUUCUUGAUCAAUACUAAUUAAAUAAUAUGAUUCCAUAUUAAUAUAUUAGAACUUAUAAUAUAUUAAUAUUAAUCAUAAACAUACUAUUCUCAAAAGAUUAUCC
This 7335-nucleotide long non-coding RNA is filed under the name Lactuca sativa (garden lettuce). Its description in RNAcentral is "long non-coding RNA (LSAT_LNC002091)". The record is from RNAcentral. Lineage: Eukaryota; Viridiplantae; Streptophyta; Magnoliopsida; Asterales; Asteraceae.